GGGCCGGUGGUCUAGACAGGCUAUGACGACGCCCUCACACGGCGUAGGUCGCCGGUUCAAAUCCGGCCCGGCCCACCA
This 78-nucleotide transfer RNA is filed under the name Candidatus Bathyarchaeota archaeon. RNAcentral's name for it is "tRNA-Val". It matches the Rfam family "tRNA". Rfam says of the family: Transfer RNA (tRNA) molecules are approximately 80 nucleotides in length. Lineage: Archaea; Thermoproteati; Candidatus Bathyarchaeota. The record is from RNAcentral. RNAcentral also lists the same sequence under 1 other name.